UACGUAGGGUGCAAGCGUUGUCCGGAAUUAUUGGGCGUAAAGAGCUCGUAGGCGGUCUGUUGCGUCGGCUGUGAAAACCCGGGGCUCAACCCCGGGCCUGCAGCCGAUACGGGCAGACUAGAGUUCGGCAGGGGAGACUGGAAUUCCUGGUGUAGCGGUGAAAUGCGCAGAUAUCGGGAAGAACACCCGUGGCGAAGGCGGCUCUCUGGGACGGUACUGACGCUGAGACGCGAAAGCGUGGGGAGCGAACAGG
Molecule: ribosomal RNA, 253 nt
Filed under: uncultured bacterium
Lineage: Bacteria
Description: partial 16S ribosomal RNA
Rfam family: Bacterial small subunit ribosomal RNA
Source: RNAcentral